UGAAAGCCCUCCGGGUAAAAUUAAUUUCUUUAUAACACCGUUUAAAGGCAAACAAAAGGAAAUUGCUUGUGCCAGAUGGGGUACGGAAGGCAUUGUGAAUGAAAAUGAGCAUCUCUUUUCUGCUAAUUAAAUUAUAUAAUGAAGGUGAACAUUUCUUGUAAACCAUAAAGUAUAUGCAUACAACCUUUCAUUUUGUGGUUUAUCUUUCUGGAAUUAGUCUAGAAAUUGUCUCCAAUUUUGCCUCGUAUUUUAUCUGAACUGUUGGUUCACAGCUGCUGGCUUUCUUUUUCUUGUAACCUCACGUAUUUUCAUGAAUAACAUUUCAAAUCUAAUCAUUGAUGUUGCAGCUGAUGGUGAUCUCUCUCUGCUCUAAGCACCUAUAAUAGUUAUUUAGCACUUAUGCUAUGCCACCAUUUAUCUUCGUUGCCUAUAUCCUCUCUACUUGGCUGUAACAUCAACUCUUGAAUAUUAACACUUGUACUAAAAAGACUACUACUAAUAGCUAACAUUUAUGGUUUACUGUAUGCCAGGCACUGUACUAAGCAUUUUAAAUGGACUAUUAAAUUUAAUAAGAAGCAGGAAACACAUUGUGUUUUACAGUGGGAUCACAUAAUACAUUUAUUAUAUAAUAUGUAUUAACAUUUCACACUCGGCCAGGCAUGGUGGCUCACGCCUGUAAUCCCAGCACUUUGGGAGGCUGAGGUGGGUGGAUCACCUGAGGUCAGGAGUUUGAGACCAGCAUGGCCAACAUGGUAAAACCCUGUCACUACUAAAAAUACAAAAAUUAGCUGGGCAUGUGGCACACACCUGUAGUCCCAGCUACUCAGGAGACUGAGGCAGGAAAAUCACUUGAACCCGGGAGGCAGAGGUUGCAGUGAGCCGGUGAGCUGAGAUCACACCACUGCACUCCAGCCUGGGCGAUAGAGUGAGACUCUGUUGCAAAAAAUAAAUUAAUUAAUUAAUUAAAAAAUAAAAAAUAAUAAUUUCACACUCAGUAGCUCAGACUGUCCACAUAUCAAAAAACCAAGAUACUAAAAAGAUAUAGAAAUAUAGAUUUAUGUAGGGUAAACAUUUAUCCUACCAUUUUAUUUAAUGAAUUUAUGCCCUAGAGUAAGAGUGAGAUGGGAGAGGUAAAUCUACUCUUUCUCCAGGUGAAGUCACUUCCCAUAUACCACUUGUUGUGUGUGCAUCUUGCUAUGGAAUGUAUAAUGUUUAAAGACAGACAUUUUUGGUACAACAUGGACUGUGAAUGCAGGCUAUAUCUGUUACUAAACUAAAGAAACAGUUUCAAUGCUAGAAGAAAGCCUAGUUGUAUUAAAUGCAAGAGAUGGUAUGUCAGUCUCCAAUGUGUUAACUUUCAAGAAAUUUGACUUAAUCUAAAUUUUUGUCACAAAAUACCUCUGAUGUGCUGUUGACUUUCAGUGAUGUAGCUUUUCUCUUUUUGUCCCAUUUGAUAUCAAUCCUUUUUUUGUGUCUUCUAUUUAUAUGUUCUCUAUUUUAUUUUUAAAUUUCAACUGUCUCAUGAAUAUCUACGAUUGCAUCUUUCACUAACACCUUAAUUUAUAUGUACUUGAGCUGAAUGAUUUAUUCUCUCCCCCAAAUUUGUAUAAUCUACAGUUCUUUUUCUCUUCCUUAGUAAAUGGCACCAUCUUCUUCCUAACCUCUGAAAUAAGAAUUCUAGGACUUACAUUAUAUUUCUGUGUCUUAUUCAUUUUUCUUCACCUCACAGUAUUCACUAAAUCAACAAGAACUGUAGCUUCUAUGUUCUGAUAUCUUGUAUCUGUAUUGUUUACAACACUCAUAGCUCAUCUCCUUGCCUUCUGUAAGCCAUUUGCACCCUGCCCUAUCCCAUUCUAGGGUAUUAUUUCAUCAAAUGAAGAGUAUGACUUAAUUAACUCAUUCAUAAAAACUUGUUUUGAGUAUGUCAUCUAAAGUCAGGGCUCUGUCCCUUUUUUAUGUAUUCCACAAACAUGGACUGAGUACUAAUGUGUGAUUAUCAUCUCAAUGCUAGUGGUUAGUAACACAAAGAUAAGUAAGACAUGGCACAAUUAGAAAUAAGACAAUGCCAUAUGUGCUAAUGAAAUUUAAGUGCAGAAUAUAGAUGAAGCACGAAGGGGGAUGGUUUGAUUCAUUC
This 2134-nucleotide long non-coding RNA is filed under the name Homo sapiens (human). RNAcentral's name for it is "non-protein coding lnc-OR13C4-6:1". Lineage: Eukaryota; Metazoa; Chordata; Mammalia; Primates; Hominidae. The record is from RNAcentral.